UACAGAGGUCUCAAGCGUUGUCCGGAUUUAUUGGGCGUAAAGAGCUCGUAGGCGGUUGGGUAAGUCGGGUGUGAAAACUCCAGGCUCAACUUGGAGAUGCCACCCGAUACUGCUCUGACUUGAGUUCGGUAGGGGAGUGGGGAAUUCCUGGUGUAGCGGUGAAAUGCGCAGAUAUCAGGAGGAACACCGGUGGCGAAGGCGCCACUCUGGGCCGAAACUGACGCUGAGGAGCGAAAGCGUGGGUAGCAAACAGG
RNAcentral lists this ribosomal RNA (254 nucleotides) under uncultured bacterium. RNAcentral describes it as "partial 16S ribosomal RNA". It matches the Rfam family "Bacterial small subunit ribosomal RNA", at positions 524 to 776 of the family's 1533-position model. The record is from RNAcentral.